AUUGAACGCUGGCGGCAGGCCUAACACAUGCAAGUCGAACGAGUGGCGGACGGGUGAGUAAUGUCUGGGAAACUGCCCGAUGGAGGGGGAUAACUACUGGAAACGGUAGCUAAUACCGCAUACCAUCAGAUGUGCCCAGAUGGGAUUGGCUAGUUGGUGGGGUAACGGCUCACCAAGGCAACGAUCCCUAGCUGGUCUGAGAGGAUGACCGGCAACACUGGAACUGAGACACGGUCCAGACUCCGACGGGAGGCAGAAGUGGGAAAUAUUGCACAAGGGGCGAAAGCCUGAUGCAGCAAUGCCGCGUGUAUGAAGAAGGCCUUCGGGUUGUAAAGUACUUUCAGCGGGGAGGCGUUACCCGCAGAAGAAGCACCGGCUAACUCCGUGCCAGCAGCCGCGGUAAUUC
RNAcentral lists this ribosomal RNA (406 nucleotides) under uncultured bacterium. Its description in RNAcentral is "partial 16S ribosomal RNA". It matches the Rfam family "Bacterial small subunit ribosomal RNA", at positions 30 to 526 of the family's 1533-position model. The record is from RNAcentral.